GACGGAGGGGGCAAGCGUUGUCCGGAAUUACUGGGCGUAAAGGGCGCGUAGGCGGGUUUCUACGGCGGUGGUGAAAGCUCCUGGCUCAACUGGGAGAGGCCCAUCGCAACGGGGAACCUCGAGGGUGGUAGAGGCAGACGGAAUUCCUGGUGUAGCGGUGAAAUGCGUAGAGAUCAGGAGGAACACCCGUGGCGAAGGCGGUCUGCUGGGCCAUGCCUGACGCUGAAGCGCGAAGGCUAGGGGAGCGAAC
Molecule: ribosomal RNA, 250 nt
Filed under: uncultured bacterium
Lineage: Bacteria
Description: partial 16S ribosomal RNA
Rfam family: Bacterial small subunit ribosomal RNA
Source: RNAcentral